CAGCCGCCGCGGGAAUACGAAGGGUGCAAGCGUUAAUCGGAAUUACUGGGCGUAAAGCGUGCGUAGGCGGUUUGUUAAGUCUGCUGUGAAAUCCCCGGGCUCAACCUGGGAAUGGCAGUGGAUACUGGCAAGCUAGAGUGUGUCAGAGGAUGGUGGAAUUCCCGGUGUAGCGGUGAAAUGCGUAGAGAUCGGGAGGAACAUCAGUGGCGAAGGCGGCCAUCUGGGACAACACUGACGCUGAGGCACGAAAGCGUGGGGAGCAAACAGGAUUAGAUACCCGCGUAGUCCCUGUCUCUUAUAC
RNAcentral lists this ribosomal RNA (301 nucleotides) under uncultured bacterium. RNAcentral describes it as "partial 16S ribosomal RNA". It matches the Rfam family "Bacterial small subunit ribosomal RNA", at positions 509 to 807 of the family's 1533-position model. The record is from RNAcentral.